Molecule: ribosomal RNA, 239 nt
Filed under: uncultured Lactobacillus sp.
Lineage: Bacteria; Bacillati; Bacillota; Bacilli; Lactobacillales; Lactobacillaceae
Description: partial 16S ribosomal RNA
Rfam family: Bacterial small subunit ribosomal RNA
Source: RNAcentral
CCGUAGCCCAAGAGAUCGGGAUAACACCUGGAAACAGAUGCUAAUACCGGAUAACAACAGAUGAUGCCUAUCAACUGUUUAAAAGAUGGUUCUGCUAUCACUCUUGGAUGGACCUGUGGUGCAUUAGCUAGUUGGUAGGGUAACGGCCUACCAAGGCGAUGAUGCAUAGCCGAGUUGAGAGACUGAUCGGCCACAUUGGGACUGAGACACGGCCCAAACUCCUACGGGAGGCAGCAGGC